GAGAUGACUCUCGGCAUUGCUUUCUAAAACCAUAGCUUUGGUUGUUGUGAUUUUUCUCUAGUAAUUCGGCACUAAUAGCCAACUCUUCUGCUUCUGAGGGGUAGUUAACAUGCUGUAAUCCAAUUUUGUCACGAAUAUAAGGUCUUAAUCCAAACAAAUAUCGUGCAGUUUGUUGUGCAAGGGACUCCGUGAGACGAUUUCUUGCAGCAAGGUUAAAAAACUCCUGCGAAUACUCCUGCAUAGUUCGACUUCUUUGUACGCAACCAUGGUAUUUUUCAAACAACACCUGCUUGUAAUUCCAGUGAAGGAAUCGAGCCUGAAGCAUGCUCUGUAUUUUGCGCUAAGUUUGGACAAGAUUCUUUCCUUGCUGCACCCUGGAAUCUUGUUGCUCAUCCCACCAAA
This 402-nucleotide long non-coding RNA is filed under the name Malus domestica (apple). Its description in RNAcentral is "long non-coding RNA (MDOM_LNC000095)". Lineage: Eukaryota; Viridiplantae; Streptophyta; Magnoliopsida; Rosales; Rosaceae. The record is from RNAcentral.